UGUGAAUAUUUUUAAUGUUUUGUUUUGAAAUGAUGAAAUCAGUAUUUGAAAUUAUAUCUAGAGUUGGAACUAACUGACUUUAAUACACACAAAUAAUAUGCAAAACCAAGUGACGCAAAACUACUUUUUUAAUCUCUUAAUUUUAAAGAGCAGUUCUAAACAAGAACUUGCUUCCUCUGCAUAUCUGAAAUAAUUAACUAUUUAAUGCAGCUUGGAGCUCAAGGUGAAUUUUCAGAGUUCUGGGCUGUGGGUUAAUAUUUGCCAUCCAUCUCAAAAAUGUUUAGGUAUUUUUCAAAGACCAGUUUUUACUUCAGUGCCUGAGGAUGCCAUACAAUGGUAAAUAGUUUUCUUGGGAGCACACUUAAUGAAUAGAGAGGAACUUGUGGUUCAUCUUUCUGCACUGAUCAAUGACUAAGCAAUCAGCUGAUAUUUAGGGAAUUCAUAUAACUAGUAUUAGCUGUGUGGGUCUGGUUACAUUUAUAUUGAAUGUUAGUUUUAAUCAUAAAUUUACGUUUAAGCCUAUAAUUGCUGAUCUUGGGUACAAAAACCUACCUUAGUCUAGUCCCCAGCAGGUGGCUGUAUCCCAAAUUCAGCAGUACGUGUAAUUUCCAAAUGCAACACAGUGGUGUCUAUUGGCCCCUCAUGCUGUAUAUGAGGUUCAUCCAUAUACUGAACGUUGUAGCUACAGAAAAUCCAGAAAUGGUGAUUCUGCAAUUUCUUGGUCCAUCAUUUCUAGCCUUCUACAAACUUUUAUUUCUUUCUGUUUUGCUUAUGUUUGGAGCAAGUGGGGACAGAAAAAGAAGCUUCAGUCCUAAAAAGGACUUUGAAAAGCAGAUCGUGGAUCACUCUAGGGUGGGUCCAAAGUAAUGGAUACAAAAAUGUGGAUUUUGUGUUUUAAGUCAGGUGGAGAUUACCUUCAGAUUAGACCCUAGGGAUAGCUGUGUGCUAUAUUAUUCAAUGGAUAUUGUUCCUGAAAGGUGCUACUGACUGCUUUGUUCUGCUUAGAUGAGCAAAACAGUCAGAUCAGGAUUGAUGUUUAUGCACUAUGCAUUCAUUUUUGGCAUAAAUUCAGUUUAAUGUUUCCAUUGUAUAUGUCUUUUCUGCUCUUUUUGCAUUCUGUAAAGUGACUGCACAGAGACAAUAUUGUGUAAUUGAGAAAGAACAGUAAAUCCGUUGUUUGAUUUUGAUAGUUUCUGUCCAGAAAAAUUUUAGACUCGAAUUAAGCAUCUGAAUAGAAGUUAUAUUUUUCCUAUGUAGUUCUAUGUUUGAAAAGCUGGAAGUAAGCCAUAAUUUUCUGGAUUCACAGUGAACCACUUCAGAUCAAUAUUGCCCUGUCUGAAUAUAUGUUAUAUCUUGGCUGACUACACGACACGGUUUGGAAGUUAUCCUACAACUAGACUCAAGCACAGAUCCCCAUUUAUCAUGCUGAACAGUGCCAGCUCUCUCAGUCUUUUGGCACAGGUGAGAGGCUCCAGUGCCUUGGUCUCAUCUUGUUUGGUCUCAUACUGAAGAGCCUGGACCUGGUUGCAGCACUCCAAGAGAGGCCUCACCAAUUAACAGAGGGCCAUAUUUCAUUGUGGAAGUUCAACAAGUUGAUAAAGGAUGAUUUUCUCUUAGUGUAGUCCUGACACUCCUGAAGAUUUUCUUGUCUUUGAUGGACCUGGAAAUGGUUUUCAGGUAAUUCCAGGUAAUUUCAGGUAAUUUCCAGGUAAUAUUCCUAGUUGCCACAAUUGAUAAAAAAACAGAGUGGUCUUCAAGCUAUUGAGUUUCAGAUAAGAUGCUAUCUCCCUUUCUUUGGUGAAAACCUUGCCACAGGAAUUCCAUAAGCUUCAUAAGAAACUAAAAGUUCUGCCAAAGCCCCAGUGAUCUAGAUGCUGCAAGUUAUAAUACUAAUUACUGCUUUCAUUUUGCCACUUUCAGGUCCCUAAUACAGUACAAAGUGACAGAAAUGAGGUUGCAUAGGCUGACUUUACAAAUUCUCCUUAAGUUCUGAAAAGCAGUCACCACUCGGCUGCAGAGGGUCCACCAUGGAGCACAGUGGAGAUCCUGCACAUACCAUAGAAACUGCUCUCAAAGCAUGUUUUGAAAACUUGCUUUUGACACAGGGGAACUUUCAAAAUUUCAGGCAGACAAAUUGUUAAAUAGCUCAAGAGAAUGACUGGAAAACAAGCAUGAUAUCAAAAUACUAAGGAAGGUACAGGAUAGCCCUUUUUAGAAAAAUUACUUUAAAAAAAGAGAAGACAGUGGUACAGAAGGAAGCUAAUUCUGAGCUGUCUAGAAAAUGAUAUUAAAAAGUCCAUGUUAAAGGAAUGAUUUAAAAGCUGUGUUGAAGGGAUAAAAAAAGGGUGAUAUAUUCUAAUGCAACUGAUGGAAAAAUGAAGCCUACAUGCUAACGCCAUUUGAAGAGAAAGGAAUGUGUUUUGAAGAUGUAUGUCAGAAGCUCAAAGGGCUAGUGCAAGUACAGUAGGGCCUUAGCCUCCUUGUUUGAUAAGAGCUUCCUUUUAUAUAGAUAGCUUUUCCUUCAGAAUACAUAUGCCCUAUUGCUUCUCCUUAUUCUUGUCUCUGACUUUUGAUUGAAUGUGCCACAGUAUGUUGAAAAUGCUGUUGAUCAAUGGCAAUUUUAAAGUAAAAAUAAAAUAUACGAUUCCCAUGCAAGUCACAGACAUCAUAAGCCAGUAAGUGCUGUAAAAUCUUUAUGGCUAAGUCCCUUUUCAUUAAAAUAGUUGAGAAUAUUUCCUGCAAAGUGAAGAUAUUUGAAAUUGUGUUUAAAGUUUUAGUGAUCCUGAUAGAAAAACCUCCAUGAGAAAUGAUUACUUACUUCCCAUGUUCUGCAAUCAUUGUACUAAGAUAUACCUAAAUGUCAGAUAAAGUAUUUUCAUAAAUUAUAUAUACAACUACAUAUUUGCCUUAGAUAUUGCCUUUUAAAAUUCUGGUAAUUAUUCGCUAUUUACUGGACAAAAUCAUAUCUCUUUGAGUAGAUGUUCGAAGCUGGUAGGCAGGGGUUUUCCCUGGUUUCAGUUAAAAAUGAAAUCAAGAUAUGCUUUCAUGCUUUUUUCAUAGUUUUUUGUGUAUGUUACCACAAAAUAUUUUUAAAGCUUAAGCAUGAGAAACAUAUUUUUUUCACCAUUAUCACGCAUUAUAUUAUAUUGUUUUGUUGAGUUGUAUUUUUUGCCAUUCUAAUUCUUCUAUAUUCCUGAAGAUAUAUAACCCUAUUAAAAAUAUUAUGUACUACUCAUAGAAGUAAAAUAAAUCCUUUUCAAAGUAUAGACCCACUUUCACAUGUGAAACUUAAUAAUAGAACACACUAAUUUGUCAAGCUUUCAAAAGACAUGUUGAUUAAAUAUUUUUAACAGGUUAAAUAAACAAAAGCUAUUGUUAGAUGUAAAAUGUGGAUUUUUCAGCUGGCUAUUCAUCUUAGCCCAGUAAAUGCCUAUACCUCUUUCACAGUAUAAACCUUCUCUUUUUCUUCAUUUUGUUGCAUGUGCAUUUAAAAUCUCAAGACUUCUUUUACAUUAUGUAAUGAAAUACAAUGGAGGCCAAUAAAUAUGACUUGUAAUUGCCACUGAUUAAGAUCAAGAAUGUGGUCUACUGUCUCAGUUUCUAGGCAGUAGUUUGUUAAGCCAUGGAAAUACAACCACAUUGUCAUGUGAUCAUGCCCAUAUUUCAAAAAAAUAUACAACAAAAUUUCUAUACUAAGUAGAGAAAACCUUCCCUGAGGAAACCCUGCAUUUGUAGGGUUGUUUAAUUUAAUACUUUAAAGAUCACUGUUGAAUAAUUAUUAACAAAUUUUAAAAAAUAUGUUCUGUCCUUCUGGCAUGUGGAAAUUUCAUUUAUUACACAUUCACCAUCACAGAGAAGCAUUUGAAUUUUGCUUUAAUGAAACUGAGCUGUUUCCUUACCACUUAAAGCUUGCUACAGAUGAAUGUGCUUUCAUUAAAAGUCUUUAUGAUCAAAUCUGCUUAAGUCUGUUUCUCUGAUUCUCCAUCUUUUUGCAUGAAAGUUGAUGACAGAUGAGUAGCU
Molecule: long non-coding RNA, 4020 nt
Organism: Parus major (Great Tit)
Lineage: Eukaryota; Metazoa; Chordata; Aves; Passeriformes; Paridae
Exons: 3
Source: RefSeq, a predicted model, not a curated record